Molecule: long non-coding RNA, 3158 nt
Filed under: Mus musculus (house mouse)
Lineage: Eukaryota; Metazoa; Chordata; Mammalia; Rodentia; Muridae
Description: long non-coding RNA chr4:5645706-5648864
Source: RNAcentral
UGGGGUGGGUCCUUUGUUUGUUUUUAUCCCAGAUCUUUCAAAGCAUGAUCUAUUUUGAGUCAGUGAUUUAAUUUUAGAUCAGAAUUGAGGUUGGGUUGUUUGCGGGAGACUGACAAGCUGCUGGCUCUGUGUAUCCUCAAUGGCUGGGAAUGGGGAAUUUGGUAUUUGUCUGGUCUAUGAGUCUGAAUUCAAUCAUGGCCUGGCGAGUUUUGUAAUAAGACUUGGUUGUCCAUGAAGGGCUUAACCAGAAGGAAAAUCUCUGCUGUGAACCUCAUCUUCAAAUCGCCCUCCUCCUUAGGUUUAGAAUACUACUCUCAGUUUCUAGUUGGAAAACUCACCGUCUAUGCUUGCCAUUAAUGAAAGAUGAAUGCAUUUGCUGUGUGAUCACCCCCUCAUAGCACAUCAUAACUCUAGCUUUAAAGCCUUGGGUUCGAUACCUCUAGACUAAAUGGUUGAGAAAACAAAUAAAAUUACCUACUCGCCCUUUUCAGUAACAAAAAGAUGACACUUGCAGCUUAGAUAUUUUAUAUUUUAGUCACUCAGCUAUCAGUUUACCCUCUGUCCCGACUAUUGGAUUUUAAGUGGAAAUCUUUUUCCUUAAGUGUUUAGCUACAGACAGGCUUUGUAUGAGGUGAGCUGCUGUAGGUAUAGCCCAUCAACAGUAGGUGGUGCUGUGGGGAACUCUGGCAGCUCAGCCAGGGCAUAGGUAUGCUUAAGGAACAUCCAGCAUUAAUCUGCACUAGUGCUGGCCAGGUGUGAAAACAACCGGAGGGACAGACAGCAGCCUGCACAAGUGUUAAGAAUGACAUGGUUUCUUAAGUUUUCUCUUUGCAUUUUUAACGUUUGGCAAGCAUUUACCUGGAGAAUCUUUUUUUUAGAGUCCAAUAAUGUUCUAGAUGCUAAGUGUAUAAUGCUUAUAAAAAUUAUUAGCUGCACUUCUCACUUUUAUUGUUCUUCAUUAGAGUUAGGUGGACUUUGGACUAACCUAGGCUAAGCCAAGAGCCUCUGCAGCUAACGUGGACUUUUUCUUUUUCUAGCAUGGACUUGCAGUUCAGAGCAACAAAGGGCGUGGGACCUACUCCCCUCUUGAAUUUAUUUGGGAAGGCCCUGCUCCCCUCUGCUUUUUUUGGUCACCUCUUAUCAUUUUUCUGGCUCCUGGCAGGUUACAAUGAGAAUUGAUAUUCAAGGUGAAGAUGCUGAAUUUAUUCUAUGCUGGCUGCGUACCCCGGCUAGGAAGUAAAUUAGUCCACUCAGUUAAAGGUUUUCUGGCUCCCAGUCGCUUACCUGUGAAGGCCAGUCCUGUGAGCAGCAUAUCUCUAGGCUUCCUCUUACUCCUCUAACAAACAAUAGUUUUGUUAUCUGCUUUCUGUGGGUGAAUUUAGUGACUUGACUGAGGCAUAGCUAAUAAAUAGCAAGAUGUAAGUACCAGAGGCUGGCUUUUCUACUGCCCAGAGAGGAAAAGCUUUGCAGCCUCGUAGCUGCUGGAGCUGACUGAUCGCUUCUUCAGGGGUUUGGUAUCAGAAAAAUCUCAUCACUCAGUGAUCGGAUUUGGAUUUUCUGGGUAGUGCUUGAUCAUCAGUCCAAAAGUAGGAGAAAUCGAGUUUUUUUUUCCUUUUCCUGAAUAGUCUUUUAAUGUGUGGCAAAGAUUACUUGUUUCGAGUGUUGAGAAGGAUGGCAGCUGAAUGUCUUUGAAUUAGAUAAAAGGCUGAUAGAGACGGUUUAGACCUUGAGGCUGUGAAUCAUGUUGGGUCUGUUUGGGGUUUUUGCUCCUGACAGCCCAGCUCUACACUUGGCCUUGUGACAUACUCUCUGUCCACCGAUGAGCUUGCUUACUGUGAUCCCUUUCAUGUGGGAGGCAGGACUGUGAGCGCGCAUGUGUGUGUGUGUGUGUGUGUGUGUUUUGUUCCACAGUUGAGGCAGAGCCUCAACUUAAUCUUUCAAAAACAAAGAUGGGCUGUGUUUCUCAGUUGACUCCCCUACAAAUACGAGUAGGAAGGCAAACAAGUAGGGCUUGAGAAACCCUGAAAAGAGCCGGUGACUCAGGCACACUGCUGUCCCCAAAACCUGAUGGAACUGUGAUUCUGGGCAAUGAGAAUUCUCAAACCUGUUGAUGACCAUGAAAGUACUGCGUGAUGGCUGCGGAGUGUCUCUUCUCCUUGUCCACAGCAGUGAUGGCAGCAAUAAGAUGAGAAUCAACCUUUCUACUCCACAGUCCUUUCUUAUCUUAUUUGUAGACAGCUUGGGUGGGUUUCUUAAUGAUUAUUUUGCAAAGUGAUAUUAAUAAACAUGCACCACGCAUUCCUUAUUUUGACACCUUUGGUUUCUCCAUGUGUAUGAUGGGGGACUGGGUAGAAUUUUAAUCUUUUUCAUGUGAUAAAGUUGUCACAAUAGGAGAGACUACAUAAGGACCUGGUGUUUAUGAACCUUAACCGCCCCUCCCUUCCCUCUGCCCCUAGAGUGCUCUCAAGAACAUGUGCGCAUGUGUGUGUGUGCGCGCACGCGCGCUCGUGAGAGCACAAACACACACACACACACACACACACACACACUUACUCGCACACUUUUAAAGCUUAGUAGCCAAACAAAUUGCUUUUUUUCUAGCGUUAACAGUAAAAAAGAAAGUGUGUGUGUGUGUGUGUGUGUGUACAUGAGUGCGUGCAUUGGACUUUUUUUUUUUUUUCCUGCACUGACUUUAAAAUUGCAAAUGAUUUGGAUGCACAUCCAAAGGAGAGCCCCCUAGUUCUAGAGGAACUGCCAUUUAGCAGACAGGUUCCUGGAAGAAUUGUAAGAAUCCCAGGGUGUGGUUUGUGCUCCAGGCCAAGGUCAAUGUGGUUUCAAUUGUCCAGCUCCUGAGAAGACCUUUACAAACACAAUCUUAAGCACAUGGGAUUUUGGGUCUUUGUGUUGUAAUGAAAAGCAGGGUUUUUUUCCUUCCUACUGACAUUAGAAAUUAUUUUCACCUUUUAAGAUGUCUUCUUAAGGAAGAAUCAUGGAUAAUACUUCAAAAUGACCAUUACUACCAGCAGUGCUUUGGUCCCCCAAACUGGAACUUUGUUAGAAAAAAAAAGGAGUAAUUACACAAAAGGAUAUAGUUAAUAAUUUGUCCUAUUAAGGUUAAUAUAUUAAAAAUUAUUAGCAGAGGAUUCAUUAUGUGCCAG